Molecule: ribosomal RNA, 253 nt
Filed under: uncultured bacterium
Lineage: Bacteria
Description: partial 16S ribosomal RNA
Rfam family: Bacterial small subunit ribosomal RNA
Source: RNAcentral
UACGUAGGGUGCGAGCGUUGUCCGGAAUUAUUGGGCGUAAAGAGCUUGUAGGCGGUCUGUCGCGUCUGCUGUGAAAAUCCGGGGCUCAACCCCGGACUUGCAGUGGGUACGGGCAGACUAGAGUGUGGUAGGGGAGACUGGAAUUCCUGGUGUAGCGGUGAAAUGCGCAGAUAUCAGGAGGAACACCGAUGGCGAAGGCAGGUCUCUGGGCCACUACUGACGCUGAGAAGCGAAAGCAUGGGGAGCGAACUGG